This 354-nucleotide long non-coding RNA is filed under the name Populus tremula. RNAcentral describes it as "long non-coding RNA (PTRE_LNC002216)". Lineage: Eukaryota; Viridiplantae; Streptophyta; Magnoliopsida; Malpighiales; Salicaceae. The record is from RNAcentral.
GAUGACAAGGUACUACAGAGAAUCUGUCUGCGCAGAGGUUUUUCUGCAAUGGGUUUGCAUUGCAUGACAGAACAAAACUGAAAACUGGCAGAGUGGCAGUGAACAGAAACAAAGUGAGAAUCAAGAGCUGCUGGUAGAGGAGAAGGAGGCGGUGUCGUUUAGUGGUAUUUUGCAAACUAAACAAAACAAAACAAAACACAGACCCAGCCUGGGGUUGCAGAGACAGUGCGCCCCACGAGCCACGCCGUCCAGUGAAGACCCAGAUGUCCCCAGUCAACCAGGCAACAAGUGCCUCUCCAGCCGAGCACCACUGCACGUGCGCUAUCCCCUCUCUCGCACGUGUUUCCAGCCCCU